GGCGGAGCAUGCGGAUUAAUUCGAUGCAACGCGAAGAACCUUACCUGGGUCUGACAUAUGCCGGAAAGCUGCAGAGAUGAUCCUCGGAACAGGUGUGACGAGCGCAACCCUCGUCCUAUGUUGCCAGCGGGAUGUCAAGUAUCAUGCCCCUUAAGUCCAGGCUUCAUACAUGGCUGGUACAAGGGCUGCGAUGCCGUAAGGUGGAGCGUCCCAAAAAGCCAGUCUCAGUUCGGAUUGGGGUGCAACUCGACCCCAUGAAGUCGGAGUCGCUAGUAAUCGAGAUCAGCAACGCUGCGGUGAAUACGUUCCCGGGCCUUGUACACACCGCCGUCAAGUCAUGAAAGUCGGUAACACCCGAAGCCGGUGGCUCAACCCGUUUGGGGAGGGAGCCGUCUAAGUGGGACUGGCGAUUAGGACUAAGUCGUACAAGGU
Molecule: ribosomal RNA, 432 nt
Filed under: uncultured actinomycete
Lineage: Bacteria; Bacillati; Actinomycetota; Actinomycetes; Actinomycetales
Description: bacterial SSU rRNA
Rfam family: Bacterial small subunit ribosomal RNA
Source: RNAcentral